RNAcentral lists this long non-coding RNA (1243 nucleotides) under Crocodylus porosus (Australian saltwater crocodile). RNAcentral's name for it is "lncRNA (ENSCPRG00005006548.1)". Lineage: Eukaryota; Metazoa; Chordata; Crocodylia; Crocodylidae. The record is from RNAcentral.
CAGUGAUUCACUUCCUGCCCGCAUUGCAGAUGCGAGCUAGGGGAUGGCCAGGGCUCUGUUAAGGCCGGGUGUAUGGAAGUCUGCUUCUUACCCGCUGCUGCAAGCUGUGCUCAGAGGUAAUUCAGCUCCUCUGCCGUUUCCUCUCUGCUUCUAAUUAUUUUAUCCGAUCAUGACAAUUGCAUCAGUUCUCAGCAAAGUGGCUGAGAAAAAGGAGACACUAAACCCACAGAGUGCAGACAACAGAGACCUUUGUAACAUCCUCUUCUCCCAGCAACUUGCUCUGAUGUCACCCAAAAAGGAUGCUGAAACUGGGCAUGGAACAGACUCCAGGAGAGAGAGUGAUUCCUGAACAGAAAUGUCCCUCCGCUGGAUCCUUCACAAUUGCUGAGGAUGGGAGGCAGCAGUUUAAAGCCACACCUAGAGAACAGACCCUGAGGGUGUGAAGGAAGAGUCGGUGAAGGAAGAGCCCGUGGAGGUAAAGACAGAACCGUUCCAUGUCCCUCCGUCUGAGGCCAUCCAUCAGCGUGUGACCCCAGGAGCAGAGAGGAGGCUCCCCAGGAGCUCUGGCCAUGUGCCGAGUGACCCAUGCGAAGGUUGGAGUCGGAGCCCGCAGAACCCCUCACAACCUGAACUUGCCAUCAGUGAGGUGGGGGGGCAGCAGGAGCCACUGGGCACGGAUUUCACGAGUAUUAUCUUUGACCAAGAGGCAGAGCACCUGAAUAAUUGUAACGUGGGUGAGCCCGUGACCCCCGGAACUAUGUCGCUGCAGGAGGGGGGGCCUGAGAGCAGCCAUCUCAGCCAAGCAGAGAAGCGGAUCAUCCAGUCGAAUGAGCAGCUGGUGCAGGAAAUGCGAGCCUUCCGCAGGGAGUAUGCGGAGAGCCGCAGGGAAACCGCCUCCAUCCUGCGCAUCAUUGCUGAGGCCCUCAGUGGUGUCAGCAGCAGCCUCUCUGAGAUCCGAGAUCUCUACCUCCGAGAGCAGGUGACCCCCAAGCAGUGAGGGGCCACAGGGCCUGGUUGUAACGCAGCUGGCUGUGUGGGGGAGGACUGUGACUUGUUGGGGGAGGGAAACCCUGAAAGGGGUGGCCUGGAGCAGAGACAUAAGAGGCCUGCUCAGUUGAUGGGAGAGAGAUUUUGGUUUGGGGACUGGUUUCUCCCCCAAGUUGUUCCUUUUUUUUUUUUUUUUUUUUUUUUUAAACCCUGCCCUGCCCUUUCUCCACUUCAAUAAAACUCUAAACUGGCCACA